This 214-nucleotide unclassified non-coding RNA is filed under the name Hevea brasiliensis (rubber tree). Lineage: Eukaryota; Viridiplantae; Streptophyta; Magnoliopsida; Malpighiales; Euphorbiaceae. The record is from RNAcentral.
UUAAUAAUGUUUCUUUUCAACACACGUUUUGUUGAUGAACAUGAAAUUAGAGACAAGAUGAUGAAAGAAAACACCUAGUUGAUUGAGUGCAGUAAGGAUGCUUCUAAACUCAGUCUUACUUUGUAGGCGUUCGAGUUUCUCAUCAAAUUGUCUAUCAUUAUCAAUGAAAGCAUGAAACUGUGGGCAGAAAGAUUUGGCUUCAGAUAUGUCUUUG